GUAAGCUGCCCAGUCAUUGCAUAUUCUGGAGCAUGAUAGCCAAAUGUCCCAAGAACACGAGUAGAGUGAAGGCGUGCCGCAUUGUCAGGAGAUUGAUUUGACAGGUCAAAAUCAGCUAUCUUCGCAACAUCAUCAUCAAAAAGUAGUACAUUGCUUGACUUAAUGUCACGGUGAUUAAUGGAUGCUUUCUCAUGUAGGUAUUCAAGACCCUUUGCUGCACCAACGGCAAUUUUAACACGUUGUACCCAUGACAAAACAGGACCUGGCUGUGAGCCUUUAACACCUUUACGCCCAUGUAAAAUAUCG
RNAcentral lists this unclassified non-coding RNA (306 nucleotides) under Hevea brasiliensis (rubber tree). The record is from RNAcentral. Lineage: Eukaryota; Viridiplantae; Streptophyta; Magnoliopsida; Malpighiales; Euphorbiaceae.